Poecilia reticulata (guppy) is the source of this 1464-nucleotide non-coding RNA. The record is from RefSeq and is a predicted model, not a curated record. Lineage: Eukaryota; Metazoa; Chordata; Actinopteri; Cyprinodontiformes; Poeciliidae.
GCGCUGCGUCUUUGGCGCUGUGUGGACGCUUUGGGCAUUUUUUUUUUUUUUUUGUGGCCGCACUUUUAAGAAACUUCAGCAGAAUACGCAGCCGUUUUAGAUUGUUCUUUUAAUCUUAGUCCAUAUAUGUGCAUGUAUUUUUAUAGCACAGUCUCAUUUGGUGAUGAUAGAGAUGAACUCAACAAACAAACAAACAAACAAACAAAAACCUGCCAAGCAAGCAACGCGUUCCAGAAACCCAAGGUCCGAGCGCAAAGAUUUGUUUUCCUAACCGAAAGGAUUUCCACAAGUCGUCUCCACCUGGUCUCUAAUGUCGCGCUGUGAGGUUAAACACAAGUUUGUAUCCAGAGGAACUGAUUGGGUGAGCCUUCAUCCUGGUCAUCCUGGUCGUCUCUGCUCAGCUUCCUGUGUGAUCGCUUCAUUCGGUUUGCAGCAGAGGAAGUCUGAACGUGGAGCAGCUCAAGACGCCGCAUGCCUCCUCCGAUCUCUGAUUUCUCCCGUUGUCAUGGCGAAUCCACACAAACCAAACCCGGACUCACCGAGACGAUUAGUGCUCCGACCCUUACAGUCAAUGUCUGUCAGGGUUUUCUCUGCAGAGGAUGUGGCAGACUGGCUUGUUGAAGUUCUUUGUGAAAGCAGCAGCGUCCACGUGAGGGACGGCCGCGGUCUCUGCACGUAGCAGGAAGUCAGGCUGAAACCUCGAAGGAGAGCACGGUCAGGCGGCUAAAGUGGGAUCGUCACCGAACCAGACAUUUCUGGAGGAAUCAAAGGAAGUCAAAAUAAUCAGUUCCUCUCGGACAUCUGCCCCAAAGACCGGCAGAUUGAAGAAAAUCUGGAGUUCAUUUUCUAUUACUUAGACAAGAAGAACAAUCGGACUCAGUAACCGUCCUCUCCGGCUGCCGACAUCAGUCGGCUGCACACAGUCAAGAAAUGUUUGGACCUUCUGCUGUGUCUCCAAACAAAAUAAAACCUAAACCGUCUGCUGACAACCGCUGCAACUGAGAACGAGCUAAUCUCUCUGAAGGAGGAAGGAAGCGGAAAGCCGGAGGACGCUCCUGAGGUCGAGUGGAAAAAGCUGCAGGAGGCGGCAGGUCGCCCUGAGAGCUGCUAAUCAACACUAACACCUCAGCAGGAAGCAGCAGGGUCCCAAGAGAGGACGAUAAGGAGAUAUCUAGGAUAGGAACUGGAUGGGUGUGUAGACUUUCAUCAUCGUGACUGAAAAUUUUAAUCAAUUUGGCUGCCCCAACUGGAGACCCCUUUGUGGUGACGCAGAGACAGCAUGCUGGCUUUUGAGUUUAAGGAACUCUCCAAGCAUUUAUUGUAUCGUUUAUCAUUUGUCGUGAUAAAUUUCUUAGAAUGACUUUGAUUUAUUGUCACAAUAAAUUCUAAUUAUAUGAGCCGUUACUUUUAUUAUUAUUUGUUUUAUGAGAGUAGCAAUACAUAUCAAUAAAUUUCAAAACGUGA